RNAcentral lists this ribosomal RNA (253 nucleotides) under uncultured bacterium. RNAcentral describes it as "partial 16S ribosomal RNA". It matches the Rfam family "Bacterial small subunit ribosomal RNA", at positions 524 to 776 of the family's 1533-position model. The record is from RNAcentral.
UACAGAGGGGGCCAGCGUUAUUCGGAAUUAUUGGGCGUAAAGGGCGCGUAGGCGGCUUUGCGUGUCUUUCGUGAAAUCCCUCGGCUCAACUGAGGACGUGCGGAAGAAACUGCAGGGCUGGAGUCCGGGAGAGGAGGGUGGAAUUCCCAGUGUAGCGGUGAAAUGCGUAGAUAUUGGGAGGAACACCGGUGGCGAAGGCGGCCCUCUGUACCGGUACUGACGCUGAGGAGCGAAAGCUAGGGGAGCGAACGGG